This 1591-nucleotide long non-coding RNA is filed under the name Salmo salar (Atlantic salmon). RNAcentral's name for it is "lncRNA (ENSSSAG00000117064.1)". The record is from RNAcentral. Lineage: Eukaryota; Metazoa; Chordata; Actinopteri; Salmoniformes; Salmonidae.
CUUUCCCCGCGGUGUCACCACAACCUACAGUAAGCACCCCUGGAGUCACACCACCAAGCCAACACUGUGGUAAGUAUAGGACUGUCAGAGAAAGUACAUGACACAACACAGAGAGGCUAGUUAGGUCACACACAGGACAACACAGAGGCUAGUUUAGGUCACUAACAAGACAACACAGAGGCUAGAUAGGUCACUAACAAGACAACACAGAGGCUAGUUUAGGUCACUAACAAGACAACACAGAGGCUAGUUUAGGUCACUAACAAGACAACACAGAGGCUAGUUUAGGUCACACACAAGACAACACAGAGGCUAGUUUAGGUCACACACAGGACAACACAGAGGCUAGUUUAGGUCACACACAGGACAACACAGAGGCUAGUUUAGGUCACACACAGGACAACACAGAGGCUAGUUUAGGUCACACACAAGACAACACAGAGGCUAGUUUAGGUCACACACAGGACAACACAGAGGCUAGUUUAGGUCACACAAGACAAUAUUUGCAACAUUUGAAGAACAGACAAUGUAAGUGAACUGUGCAUGGAGGACAUUUUUCAUUAUGUGAUCCACAAGCUUUUUUUUCUGUCGCAGAAGGUUGAGUUGAGUUGGAUUCAAUUGAAUGCAAGAGCUGCCUCCUGUCUCCUGCUUCCACUAGUAUCAUUCAGAUCAGUCUAUUUUAACAGCAUGUGUCUAGUACCUACAGUACAGCAUCAGCGAACUCCAUGUCCAGGCACCAGGGAGUUAAGGGAAAAGGGUCAGUUGUACAGCUGAAUGCAUUCAACUGAAAUGUGUCUUUCUCAUUUAACCCAACCCCUUUGAAUCAAGGCACUACAGCCCUGUGUUAUUACAUAUCACUACUCUGGGUCAGUAAGUUGUACUAUGUACUGUACACUGCACAGUGCACUUAUUGUAGACUACCUUUCCUUGAAGGCCAAAAUACUGUCCCAGAGCUCUCUCUCUAUAGGUGCUUCUUAAAGUCCUUAACUAAACCUUCAGAUCCAAUAUCAUACUGUAUCAUACUCCACACGAUAACACACCUCUUUACUGCAUUCCCUCUUUCCUGCAGCCAUUUGACUGGAUUCUGCUGGCUAAAACUAGUACAAGCGGUCAUUUUCAGUCGUUACCAGACUGUCAUUGUUCUGCAACCUUUGCUCUGUGUUCUGUGGUUCUGAUCGAUGAUACCCAGAAUGUGUCCGCUCGUCUGUAAUAGUAGAGAAUUCACUAAUGCCUGCCAUCCUGCACAGUGGUAACAUUAUUCUAGUCUCUCCUCUCCCUCCUUUACUUUCAUACAGGGUAACAAUAUCAUUUAACAUCCCAAUAACUAAUCAUUCUAGCUAUGUAACUGGGUGUCAUGCACCCACAUUCAUUCUGUGUAACAUGAUCCAUGUCUAUGGCUCUCUCGUCUGUGUUCUUGUCUCUCAUAUCACUCCAGAACAUGUACUCUUUGUGUUCCGUUUUCCUGAGGUUUGCAGUCACAGUCAGAGAAAUAUAUCAGUUGCUUGCGAACAGCCAACCCCUCACCACCCUCCCAGAAGCCCCCCUCCUCUCCUGCUGCAUCCCCCCUUCACGCUAACGCAACCAACCUCCC